ACUAAUAAUACGUGGCGAACGGCUCAGUAACACGUAGUCAACAUGCCCAGAGGACGUGGAUAACUUCGGGAAACUGAGGGUAAACCGCGAUAGGCCAUAAUUACUGGAAUGUGUUAUGACCCAAAUCUAUAUGGCCUCUGGAUUGGACUGCGGCCGAUCAGGCUGUUGGUGAGGUAAUGGCCCACCAAACCUUUUACCGGUACGGGCUCUGAGAGGAGGAGCCCGGAGAUGGGCACUGAGACAAGGGCCCAGGCCCUAUGGGGCGCAGCAGGCGCGAAACCUCUGCAAUAGGCGAAAGCCUGACAGGGUUACUCUGAGUGAUUCCCGCUAAGGGAAUCUUUUGGCACCUCUAAAAAUGGUGCAGAAUAAGGGGUGGGCAAGUCUGGUGUCAGCCGCCGCGGUAAUACCAGCACCCCGAGUGGUCGGGACGAUUAUUGGGCCUAAAGCAUCCGUAGCCGGUCUUGCAAGUCCUCCGUUAAAUCCACCUGCUUAACAGAUGGGCUGCGGAGGAUACUACAAGGCUAGGAGGCGGGAGAGGCAAGCGGUACUCAGUGGGUAGGGGUAAAAUCCUCUGAUCCAUUGAAGACCACCAGUGGCGAAGGCGGCUUGCCAGAACGCGCUCGGCGGUGAGGGAUGAAAGCUGGGGGAGCAAACCGG
RNAcentral lists this ribosomal RNA (657 nucleotides) under uncultured crenarchaeote. Its description in RNAcentral is "bacterial SSU rRNA". It matches the Rfam family "Archaeal small subunit ribosomal RNA", at positions 66 to 727 of the family's 1478-position model. Lineage: Archaea; Thermoproteati; Thermoproteota. The record is from RNAcentral.